UGGGGAAUAUUGCACAAUGGGCGCAAGCCUGAUGCAGCCAUGCCGCGUGUGUGAAGAAGGCCUUCGGGUUGUAAAGCACUUUCAGCGGGGAGGAAGGCGUUAAGGUUAAUAACCUUGGCGAUUGACGUUACCCGCAGAAGAAGCACCGGCUAACUCCGUGCCAGCAGCCGCGGUAAUACGGAGGGUGCAAGCGUUAAUCGGAAUUACUGGGCGUAAAGCGCACGCAGGCGGUCUGUCAAGUCGGAUGUGAAAUCCCCGGGCUCAACCUGGGAACUGCAUUCGAAACUGGCAGGGUAGAGUCUUGUAGAGGGGGGUAGAAUUCCAGGUGUAGCGGUGAAAUGCGUAGAGAUCUGGAGGAAUACCGGUGGCGAAGGCGGCCCCCUGGACAAAGACUGACGCUCAGGUGCGAAAGCGUGGGGAGCAAACAGG
Molecule: ribosomal RNA, 429 nt
Filed under: Chloroflexota bacterium
Lineage: Bacteria; Bacillati; Chloroflexota
Description: Chloroflexi bacterium partial 16S ribosomal RNA
Rfam family: Bacterial small subunit ribosomal RNA
Source: RNAcentral